Molecule: ribosomal RNA, 470 nt
Filed under: Priestia megaterium
Lineage: Bacteria; Bacillati; Bacillota; Bacilli; Caryophanales; Bacillaceae
Description: bacterial SSU rRNA
Rfam family: Bacterial small subunit ribosomal RNA
Source: RNAcentral
UCGGAGAGUUUGAUCCUGGCUCAGGAUGAACGCUGGCGGCGUGCCUAAUACAUGCAAGUCGAGCGAACUGAUUAGAAGCUUGCUUCUAUGACGUUAGCGGCGGACGGGUGAGUAACACGUGGGCAACCUGCCUGUAAGACUGGGAUAACUUCGGGAAACCGAAGCUAAUACCGGAUAGGAUCUUUUCCUUCAUGGGAGAUGAUUGAAAGAUGGUUUCGGCUAUCACUUACAGAUGGGCCCGCGGUGCAUUAGCUAGUUGGUGAGGUAACGGCUCACCAAGGCAACGAUGCAUAGCCGACCUGAGAGGGUGAUCGGCCACACUGGGACUGAGACACGGCCCAGACUCCUACGGGAGGCAGCAGUAGGGAAUCUUCCGCAAUGGACGAAAGUCUGACGGAGCAACGCCGCGUGAGUGAUGAAGGCUUUCGGGUCGUAAAACUCUGUUGUUAGGGAAGAACAAGUACAAGAGU